UCCUUAGUACACGUGGUCUAGUGGCUAGGAUAUCUGGCUUUCACCCAGAAGGCCCGGGUUCGAUUCCCGGCGUGGGAA
RNAcentral lists this transfer RNA (78 nucleotides) under Cordylochernes scorpioides. Its description in RNAcentral is "tRNA-Glu". The stretch from base 10 to 74 matches the Rfam family "tRNA". Rfam says of the family: Transfer RNA (tRNA) molecules are approximately 80 nucleotides in length. Lineage: Eukaryota; Metazoa; Arthropoda; Arachnida; Pseudoscorpiones; Chernetidae. The record is from RNAcentral.